RNAcentral lists this ribosomal RNA (488 nucleotides) under uncultured bacterium. Its description in RNAcentral is "partial 16S ribosomal RNA". It matches the Rfam family "Bacterial small subunit ribosomal RNA", at positions 28 to 507 of the family's 1533-position model. The record is from RNAcentral.
GACGAACGCUGGCGGCGUGCUUAACACAUGCAAGUCGAACGAAAAUACCAAGCUUGCUUGGUUGAUUAGUGGCGAACGGGUGAGUAACACGUGAGUAACCUGCCCCUUACUUUCCUGGAUAACUGCUCGAAAGGGUAGCUAAUACGGGAUAUUCUGACCAGCCUGCAUGGGUUGGUUUGGAAAGGUUGUUUUUCUGGUAAGGGAUGGGCUCGCGGCCUAUCAGCUUGUUGGUGGGGUGAUGGCCUACCAAGGCUUUGACGGGUAGCCGGCCUGAGAGGGUGGACGGUCACACUGGGACUGAGAUACGGCCCGGACUCCUACGGGAGGCAGCAGUGGGGAAUAUUGCACAAUGGGCGCAAGCCUGAUGCAGCGACGCCGCGUGAGGGAUGAAGGCCUUCGGGUUGUAAACCUCUUUCGUCAGGGAACAAGGCACUGCUUUUUUGGUGGUGUUGAGGGUACCUGGAGAAGAAGCGCCGGCUAACUACGUG